CAACUUUGGUAUAACAUACCAGAUUUUGGUAUAAAAAUAAAAAUAAAUAAAAAUAGUGUGAGAUACUAUUUUUAUUGAAUUUAGAGAGGUAAAAUAUAAGUCAGAAAUGACUUGUGCUGAAAUCAGAAUGAAAGUAGAAGAUUUAGAAUUUUCUGUACGAAACGAGACUGAUAUUUCAGCAGAAAAUGCAGUGUCAGAAAAUUAUGAAAACUGGAGAAUAUGUCGGAAUUAUUUUUGUGAGACUAGAUUUAAAGUUUCAUGUCAAUCCGACACCCGGAAGGUUGAAAAUAAAAUCCGACUGCUAUCUGCCAGAAAUUACAGUUCGGUAGAGCUCUCGGUGACCAAAUAUGGUCGAAACUGAAAGAUUAAAAAAAAUUUUGUACUUAUUAAGUAAAACCGAACCUGACUGUCAAAUUUGAGUACAAACGGACAUUCAGA
RNAcentral lists this long non-coding RNA (438 nucleotides) under Ananas comosus (pineapple). RNAcentral describes it as "long non-coding RNA (ACOM_LNC026657)". The record is from RNAcentral. Lineage: Eukaryota; Viridiplantae; Streptophyta; Magnoliopsida; Poales; Bromeliaceae.